UACGAAGGGGGCUAGCGUUGCUCGGAAUGACUGGGCGUAAAGGGCGCGUAGGCGGAUGGCACAGUCAGAUGUGAAAUUCCUGGGCUUAACCUGGGGGCUGCAUUUGAUACGUGUUGUCUAGAGUGAGGAAGAGGGUUGUGGAAUUCCCAGUGUAGAGGUGAAAUUCGUAGAUAUUGGGAAGAACACCGGUGGCGAAGGCGGCUCACUGGCUCAUUACUGACGCUCAGGCGCGAUAGCGUGGGGAUCAAACAGG
This 253-nucleotide ribosomal RNA is filed under the name uncultured bacterium. RNAcentral describes it as "partial 16S ribosomal RNA". It matches the Rfam family "Bacterial small subunit ribosomal RNA", at positions 524 to 776 of the family's 1533-position model. The record is from RNAcentral.